AGAGUUUGAUCCUGGCUCAGGAUGAACGCUAGCGGCAGGCCUAAUACAUGCAAGCCGAACGGUAAGAUUGGUAGCAAUACUGAUCUGAGAGUGGCGUACGGGUGCGUAACACGUAUGCAACCUACCCAGAACUGGAGGAUAGCUCAGGGAAACUUGGAUUAACCCUCCAUAAGAUCGUGUCCAGGCAUCUGGGUGCGAUAAAAACCUUCGGGUGGUUCUGGAUGGGCAUGCGCAUGAUUAGUUAGUUGGUAGUGUAACGGACUACCAAGACGAUGAUCAUUAGGGGACCUGAGAGGGUGAUCCCCCACACUGGCACUGAGAUACGGGCCAGACUCCUACGGGAGGCAGCAGUAGGGAAUAUUGGUCAAUGGGUGCAAGCCUGAACCAGCCAUGCCGCGUGCAGGAAGACGGCCUUCUGGGUUGUAAACUGCUUUUACCAGGGGAUAAAAGGCCCAUGCGUGGGACAUUGAAGGUACCUGGUGAAUAAGCCACGGCUAACUACGUGCCAGCAGCCGCGGUAAUACGUAGGUGGCGAGCGUUGUCCGGAUUUAUUGGGUUUAAAGGGUGCGUAGGCGUCCUGACAAGUUUUAGGUGAAAUGCCCAGGCUCAACCUGGGAGCUGCCUGAAAAACUGUUGGGAUUGAGUACAGACGAGGUAGGCGGAAUUGACGGUGUAGCGGUGAAAUGCAUAGAUAUCGUCAGGAACACCAAUAGCGUAGGCAGCUUACUAGACUGUAACUGACGCUGAGGCACGAAAGUGUGGGGAUCAAACAGGAUUAGAUACCCUGGUAGUCCACACUGUAAACGUUGAUGACUCGCUGUGUGCGAUAUACAGUACGCGGCCAAGCGAAAGCGAUAAGUCAUCCACCUGGGGAGUACGCCGGCAACGGUGAAACUCAAAGGAAUUGACGG
RNAcentral lists this ribosomal RNA (911 nucleotides) under uncultured bacterium. RNAcentral describes it as "bacterial SSU rRNA". It matches the Rfam family "Bacterial small subunit ribosomal RNA", at positions 8 to 916 of the family's 1533-position model. The record is from RNAcentral.